This 79-nucleotide small nuclear RNA is filed under the name Homo sapiens (human). RNAcentral describes it as "partial ncRNA". The record is from RNAcentral. Lineage: Eukaryota; Metazoa; Chordata; Mammalia; Primates; Hominidae.
GGAGAAUCCUUUGAACCCAGGAGGCUGAGGUUGCAGUGAGCCAAGGUUUUGCCAUUGCACUCCAGCCUGGGCGACAGGG